Molecule: ribosomal RNA, 440 nt
Filed under: uncultured bacterium
Lineage: Bacteria
Description: partial 16S ribosomal RNA
Rfam family: Bacterial small subunit ribosomal RNA
Source: RNAcentral
CCUACGUGAGGCAGCAGUAGGGAAUAUUGCUCAAUGGGGGAAACCCUGAAGCAGCAACGCCGCGUGGAGGAAGAAGGUUUUCGGAUUGUAAAACCCUUUUGUCAGAGAAGAGAAUGGCGGUAUCCAACGCAUAAGCACCGGCUAACUCCGUGCCAGCAACCGCGGUAACAAAGAGGGAGCAAGCGUUACGCGGAAUCAAUGGGCGUAAAGGGAGCGUAGGCGGGAUUGCACGUCAGAUGUGAAAUACUAUGGCUUAACCCUAGUACUGCAUUUGAAAAUGUUAUUCUAGAGUUUGGGAGAGGUAGGUGGAAUGCUUGGUGUAGCGGUGAAAUCCGUAGAGAUCAAGAGGAAUCCUGAUUGCGAAGGCGACCUGCUAGAACAUAACUGACGCUGAUGCGCGAAAGCGUGGGGAGCAAACAGGAUUAGAUACCCGAGUAGUC